UACAGAGACUGCAAGCGUUAUUCGGAUUCACUGGGCGUAAAGGGCGCGUAGGCGGCGGGGUAAGUCUGGUGUGAAAUCUCGGAGCUCAACUCCGAAAUUGCACUGGAUACUGCUCUGCUAGAGGGCUGGAGAGGAGAUCGGAAUUCACGGUGUAGCAGUGAAAUGCGUAGAUAUCGUGAGGAAGACCAGUGGCGAAGGCGGAUCUCUGGACAGCUCCUGACGCUGAGGCGCGAAGGCUAGGGGAGCAAACGGG
This 253-nucleotide ribosomal RNA is filed under the name uncultured bacterium. RNAcentral's name for it is "partial 16S ribosomal RNA". It matches the Rfam family "Bacterial small subunit ribosomal RNA", at positions 524 to 776 of the family's 1533-position model. The record is from RNAcentral.